AUGGAGGACAGGCAAAACAGAACCCAGCGGAGGCGCCGGAAGGCUGAACGGAUGGACAAGGUGAGGAACUACUUUGCUCAAAGGGAGGCUGAUGACACUGAUGGACACAAAGCACCUCCAGAAACAAAACAGGCACCUCCAGAAGGAAACUCAGAGUUUGUCUUUGAAGCUCUUGGAACACUCAGUGAAGCUGUUCUCAAUGGAGAACAUGGCUCUGCAGCUAACAAGGAGGUUGAGUCGUCCACAGGCCCGUCAUCAGGAGGGGAGCAGGAGAGCACAGAGCAUCCACCCAAAGAUCCUGCUAUAGAAACGCAAAUCCUCAGUGUCACAGAGGCUGAUAGAAGCUGCCAGGAUCAAGACAGAAGCAGAGAAAGCUUCACAUUCACCACCGUGGUGGCUCCUCUGUAUCAGCAGGUGUUUGGCAGGUUAGACGCUGACAUUCCGAGUGCAGCCGAUGUGGAAAAACAAACUAAAACGAGGGUGGAUCUCUCUGAGAAGACGCCGAUUCUCUGUAAACAAACUUUAGACUCUAGAAAACAGGAUGGCAUAGAUGCAGUGCAGAGUCCAGCCCAGUCAGAACAGACUCAAAAUCCGCGUCCCGCUUUAGCAGACAUGUUAGAAGGUCUUGGCGGAGUAUGCGGUUCUUUUGACUCAGACUUGUUGAGUUCCCAGACAAAGACGAGGGAUAAAGAUAGUGAUGGUCUCCGGGGAGAGGCGCAGGAAGAUGAUCUGACCCGUGACCUCAGCCGAGCCUCUGAUGGACCGCCGCCAGCAGAGCCAGCUUGUUUGCACGUUGCUGUUAAUGUUGCUGACAGAAAUGCACAGAUUGAAACAGGAGAUGAUCCCAAAUCCCUUCUGAGGGAGUCGGGGCGCUCUGGUGACGAUGCAGACCAGCAGAGCAGCUGUGACCCGGCUGAGGUGACGCAGAACAAUGACUCGGCAAAAAUAAAGAAUAAAACCAGCACGUCUUUAACAAAAGAAGAAUGGUUAGCAGCGGAAAAUGACUUAGAGUCUGAAAACAGGGAUCAAGCAGUCAUUAAAACCAGCACAAAUAGCCUCAGUUCAAGACCAGAAACCGUUUUCAAAAAUGUUAACAUAAUACAAACAGAGUCAUCUUGUAAAGACGAAAUCACACAUUCUGUAGUAAUAAAUAUAAUAUGUGAAGCAGCUGAGUCCAUGGAAAAUCCAGAAAGUAAGGAAUCUAAACCCAUAGAUGCAUUUGGAGAAACUCUAGAAGGAAAUGACCACCAUGGAAUGAAAAAUGCGUCAAUAAAUGAUGGAAAUUUCUAUUUAGCAGAAAUUGAUUUGGUGAAAAACUGGGAAAUGAUGGUUGAGGAGGAGGAAAGCAACAUAUUAACAAAUGAAAAGCUGAUUGAGUUAAAUGCGGAGGACUGCAGAGGAAUGAAGACAGAUAAAAUAGAGGUUUUUCUAGAAGAGCUGAUAGCUGCAGAAAUGAAAGCACAUGAAGCAGAGUGGGAACGCAAUGAAGAGGUCGAAAAAUGCACCGACUCAGAGCCAGUCCAGGUUGGAAUAACAGAACAUUUUGUUGGGGAAAAAAUUGCAGAAGAAAAAGAUUUAGCUUUUGAUGAAACGGUUAAUCAAAGUGAGAAGGAAACAAAAGAGGAAGAAACAGGACAAAACCUAGAAUCUGAAGGAGGUUUGGAGUUUGAGGGAAAGGAAAAGUUCGAAAACAUCAAUAAAGAGGAGCAGAGCACACUGGAUAUUUUGGCUGAUAAUAGUGGAGAAAUAGAAAAGGCGGAUCCAAACACAGAGAUCAGAGAUGAUGUAAAGGGUCCAGAUGUUAUUGGAGACAUGGAGCAAGAGGUUGUGUCUGAUAAAGCACAUGGAUCCACCCAAUCUGAUGACAUUUUACCCAAAAAGGAUGGCUCAUAUUGUGCUAAAGAUUUCCGACAGAGCUGUCCGAGUGAAGAAACGUCCGCUUUAGCAUCUGAGCGCAGCAGUGAUGGAGCAGGUCAGGACAGCAGCUCGGCAGAGUCCGAUUCAGACGACGAGGUGGAGCUGUACAUGUACCGCCUCAGAGCUGCGGGGGCAACAGCACCGGCAGGUAAAGACAAAGUCAAAGAAGCAGGCUUCCCGGUGGGCAAAAGGCCUUCCGCCAGCAGAGCCAGACCCCCAUCCCCCGUCCUACCCUCCAUCUGUGAAUCUGCAGAUGAAGAGCAGCACGUCAGCCGCGCCCAGCAGAAUCGAUCUGCGGCGGCUCCGUCGCAGGGCAACUACCAAAAGGUUACGUGGCGGACAUCCUGGAGCAAUAUUUUAAAAUCAUUGUUGUGUGUCACCUUGCUGGUGGUGUUUCUGGCCGUGGCAAACCGGUAUGAUUUUCUGGCCUGUUUUGGGCUCUAUCUGAUGUCUGUGGUUUGGCUGUGGUGUCAAGGAGAGAAACAAGUGUCUCAAAGCAACAAGUGA
Long non-coding RNA from Oryzias javanicus (javanese ricefish), 2424 nucleotides. NCBI's taxonomy places the organism in Eukaryota, Metazoa, Chordata, Actinopteri, Beloniformes, Adrianichthyidae. The record is from Ensembl.